Molecule: ribosomal RNA, 139 nt
Filed under: uncultured eukaryote
Lineage: Eukaryota
Description: partial 18S ribosomal RNA
Rfam family: Eukaryotic small subunit ribosomal RNA
Source: RNAcentral
UGGUGGGUUGCCUUGUCAGGUUGAUUCCGGUAACGAACGAGACCUCAGCCUGCUAAAUAGUCACAUUUGCUUUUUGCAGAUGGCUGACUUCUUAGAGGGACUAUUGGCGUUUAGUCAAUGGAAGUAUGAGGCAAUAACA